This 1117-nucleotide long non-coding RNA is filed under the name Calidris pugnax (ruff). RNAcentral's name for it is "lncRNA (ENSCPUG00000006587.1)". The record is from RNAcentral. Lineage: Eukaryota; Metazoa; Chordata; Aves; Charadriiformes; Scolopacidae.
ACAGAAGUAGUGAAUGUUUGUUAGGUAUCUCUUAUUGGACAACCUUUACAAAGACAAGAACAUUCACUUCAGCAGUCUAAGUGCUUUUAUUAUCCGUGUAUCUAGUCACUUAUGUAUGGACUGCUUUCUCACCAGGGGAGGGAAGGAGAUAGGAAAGGAUUGUACAAGGCACCACUGCUUUUUUCAUAUAACCGUGCUGUGUUCACUCACCUUUGAUCAUUCCAGUCACAACUUUCAUAGGAGCUAGUUCAGCAUAACAAAGGCGUUUCAGAAAUGAGGAAAUGGUUGUGAGGUCUGGAUAUUGAGCAUGAGCUGUCAUGGAAUAACGUCCCUACAUAAUAAUUGAUUUUCAACUUAGUUUGUCAUAAAAAGUUCAUGUUGGUUUAUACAGAUUACUAACCAUAUUUAUCACAAUUAUAUUUUAGCAACUUGGGAUCAUAAAUUCUUUAUUAUCUACGUAGCUGGAAGAAUUUCUGCUGUUGUCUUACUGUUAGUUUUCCUACUGAUCUGCAUCACCACUGCUUAUUGCAAAAAUGGGAAAGUAAGUAAUACCAGCAUCUCUCUUGUAUGUUGGAAUUACAUAUUUUGGACUAUACUAUCACGUAUGAUGCAGUUUCCUGCACUGUGUUUCUGACUGAAUGUGUGUCAUCAGAAAGAAGAGGAAGAGGACCACAGAGGCCUUAUCAGAAGCUUUUUACUCUACUCAGAUACUGCCUGCUAACAGUUAUGAAAGAUCCAAUUUUCAUGGCAUAUGGAACACGGUAAGAAAAGGAGAAGAAUUGUCACCCUGGCAGACAGAGGAGAUUUAUGUCAACUGGAAAAAUGUGUCACACAAAUCUAAGAAAAGACCAUUAAAUUCCUUCCUAAGAAUGCGGUAACCAAAGCGCAGACCUUAUAUUUGCAGCUUAGACUUUAUUUCCUUUGUACCAGCAAGACAUGGAAGCAAAGCGGCUGUGCUGGGCACUGCCUGGCCUGCUUUGGCUGGACAGCCAGGUGUGUCUGCCUUGUAUUACAGCCUGUGGCAUUAAAGUAUCCUUUGAUUCAUAUGUAGAAUUAAAGAUUAUCUGUACUUCUGCGAUUUAAGCAUUUUUAUCCAGUAGGUGUACGCUCAAGUGAG